RNAcentral lists this ribosomal RNA (469 nucleotides) under uncultured Anaerolineaceae bacterium. RNAcentral describes it as "bacterial SSU rRNA". It matches the Rfam family "Bacterial small subunit ribosomal RNA", at positions 897 to 1382 of the family's 1533-position model. The record is from RNAcentral. Lineage: Bacteria; Bacillati; Chloroflexota; Anaerolineae; Anaerolineales; Anaerolineaceae.
AAACUUAAAGGAAUUGACGGGGACCCGCACAAGCAGCGGAGCGUGUGGUUUAAUUCGUUGCUACACGAAGAACCUUACCUGGGUUUGACAUAUAGGUUGUAGGGAACUGAAAGGACGACCCUUCGGGGAGCCUAUACAGGUGUUGCAUGGCUGUCGUCAGCUCGUGUCGUGAGAUGUUCGGUUAAGUCCGCUAACGAGCGCAACCCUCGUCGUAUGUUAUAUGUGUCAUACGAGACUGCCGGUAAAAAGCCGGAGGAAGGUGAGGAUGAUGUCAAGUCAGCAUGACCUUUAUAUCCAGGGCUACACACACGCUACAAUGGUCUGUACAAUGGGUAGCCAAGCCGCGAGGCGGAGCCAAUCCUGAAAGCAGGCCUCAGUUCAGAUUGCAGUCUGCAACUCGACUGCAUGAAGCCGGAGUUGCUAGUAACCGCAGGUCAGCAAUACUGCGGUGAAUACGUUCCCGGGUCUU